AGUGUAGAAUUUAAGGAGAUGCG
This 23-nucleotide microRNA is filed under the name Equus caballus (horse). RNAcentral's name for it is "eca-miR-8964". Lineage: Eukaryota; Metazoa; Chordata; Mammalia; Perissodactyla; Equidae. The record is from miRBase by way of RNAcentral.